This is a transfer RNA of 89 nucleotides. It matches the Rfam family "tRNA". From Rfam's summary of the family: Transfer RNA (tRNA) molecules are approximately 80 nucleotides in length. Their secondary structure includes four short double-helical elements and three loops (D, anti-codon, and T loops). The record is from Rfam.
GCCCUUGUAGUUCAGUGGUAGAAUGUUGCACUUGUAGAGCUUCACGGCUGCAGAUGCAAUGGUCUCGAGUUCAAACCUCGACGGGGGCU